AUUGAACGCUGGCGGCAGGCCUAACACAUGCAAGUCGAGCGGAUGAACGGAGCUUGCUUCUGGUUCUAGCGUCGGACGGGUGUGUAAUGCCCAGGAGUCUCCCUCCCAUUGCGGGAUAACGUCUGGACACGGGCGCUACUACCGCAUACGUCCUGAUGCAGAAAGUGGGGGAUCUUCGGACCUCACGCUCUCAGAUGAGCCUAGGUCGGAUUAGCUAGCUGGUGGGGUAAAGGCCUACCUAGGCGACGAUCCGUAAAUGGUCUGAGAGGAUGGUCAGUCACACGAGAAGUGAGACGCGGUCCAGACUACUACGAGAGGCAGCAGUGGGUAAUAUUGGGCAGUGGGCGAAAGCCUGAUACAGCCAGGCCGCGUGUGUGAAGAAGGUCUUCGGAUUGGGAAGCACUUUAAGUGGGGAGGAAGGGCAGUAAGUUAAUACCUAGCUGUUUUGACGGUAACAAGAGAAUAAGCACCGGCUAACUUCGUG
RNAcentral lists this ribosomal RNA (484 nucleotides) under uncultured bacterium. RNAcentral's name for it is "partial 16S ribosomal RNA". It matches the Rfam family "Bacterial small subunit ribosomal RNA", at positions 30 to 507 of the family's 1533-position model. The record is from RNAcentral.